CCGAGUGAGGGCCCUCUGGGUCCAACCUCCCACCCGUGUCUAUCAUACCAUGUUGCUUCGGCGCGCCCGCCUCACGGCCGCCGGGGGGCUCCCGCCCCCGGGCCCGCGCCCGCCGAAGCCCCCUCUGAACGCUGUCUGAAGAUUGCAGUCUGAGCGAAUUAGCAAAAUAUAUUUA
RNAcentral lists this unclassified non-coding RNA (175 nucleotides) under uncultured Penicillium. RNAcentral's name for it is "sequence contains ITS1". The record is from RNAcentral. Lineage: Eukaryota; Fungi; Ascomycota; Eurotiomycetes; Eurotiales; Aspergillaceae.